Molecule: ribosomal RNA, 716 nt
Filed under: uncultured Streptococcus sp.
Lineage: Bacteria; Bacillati; Bacillota; Bacilli; Lactobacillales; Streptococcaceae
Description: bacterial SSU rRNA
Rfam family: Bacterial small subunit ribosomal RNA (bases 3-524)
Source: RNAcentral
GACGAACGCUGGCGGCGUGCCUAAUACAUGCAAGUAGAACGCUGAAGGAGGAGCUUGCUUCUCUGGAUGAGUUGCGAACGGGUGAGUAACGCGUAGGUAACCUGCCUGGUAGCGGGGGAUAACUAUUGGAAACGAUAGCUAAUACCGCAUAAGAGUAGAUGUUGCAUGACAUUUGCUUAAAAGGUGCAAUUGCAUCACUACCAGAUGGACCUGCGUUGUAUUAGCUAGUUGGUGGGGUAACGGCUCACCAAGGCGACGAUACAUAGCCGACCUGAGAGGGUGAUCGGCCACACUGGGACUGAGACACGGCCCAGACUCCUACGGGAGGCAGCAGUAGGGAAUCUUCUGCAAUGGACGGAAGUCUGACCGACCAACGCCCCGUGAGUGAAGAACGUUUUCGGAUCGUCCGAUCUGUUGUAAGUGAAGAACAAGUGUGAGAGUGGAAUGUUCACAGAGUCUGGGUCUCUUACCAGACACGGACGGCUCAAUCGUGCCUCAGUCGCGGAAAUACCGUCGUGGUGCUGAUAUUGUAUUUAUAACGAACUAAAGAAUGCAGGUCUAUCUGGUGUUGAGACAGUGCCCCUCUAAUUAACCGUAGAGGAGCAUCUAAACUUAUACAAUAUUAGCUCUCGUUACCGAUAGGGAUCUCCCCGUCCCCGCCGGGAUCCUUCGCUUUAACGCAACUCCCUCUCACGAAGUAACAUGUUUCGCCUUCC